GCUACAUUGAGGCUCAGGAUCUGGAACUUCUGUUGUGAUUUCCUGAGGUUUUUCAGAGCAGUCCCGCCAGCUUUCUGUCUCCACAGGCCACAGUGUCAUUAGGUUUGAAGGAGAGCUGUUCUUAUUCCUGGAUUUCCAUUUGCUCUUGAUCUGGACUACACUGGGUAUCAAAGUAUACGUGGAUGAGAGAUUGUCGUUGGAGAGCCCUGGUCUCUACAGCAUGCACCCUACUGAUGACCUCUUCAAAACUCACGAUUCCAAUCAACAUAUUGGUUACUGACUUCUUUAAAGUACUUUAAAGGUUCUCUACCAAUUUCUACUAGUGAUAAUUGUCUUAAAAUGGCUUUCCUACGUAUAUGGUUGCAAAACUGUUCUGGUUCUUUUUGGAGGUGUAUUUACAGUGUAUAGCCACUAUUGAUGCAGUUUUUCUUCUUCCUUGGUCAGGUGAAGAGUGUUCUAGAUAAAAUGCUGAAGAAGUUACCAGAGGAGGAUAAUCUUGCAUAACUCAUGUCUAAAACAGACCAGAGGUGCCCCCACAUCCUAGUGUGCCUGCAGGAGUGAAGUUUCACAUGGAGCUGGUGGAGUGUUGAUUCAAUAGGAUGACUCAGGGACUGAGCAUCCUGUGUGUUAUUUUUCUAAGAAAUUGUUCAGCACAAUUACAGCACUAUUGAAAAAGAGGCGCUGGCCGUGGUACUGGUGCUGUGACACUUUGAUGUGAAAGUGAAAGUGAAGUGACAUUGAGCCAAUUGUGGUGACCCAUACUCAGAAUUUGUGCUCUGCAUUUAACCCAUCUGAAAUGCACACACACACAUAGCAGUGAACACACACACACACUGUGAGCACACAUCCGGAGCAGUGGGCAGCCAUUUAUGCUGCGGCACCCGGGGAGCAGUUGGGGGUUCGAUGCCUUGCAAUUCCAUCCGGCCCGAGACUAAAACUCACAACUCUUCGAUUGGGAGUCCAACCCUCUAACCAUUAGGCCACGACUUCCCUAAAUGCCUUAGCAGAGGAUGGUUGACAAUCCACUUGUGUUUUUGUCACAAAUGUCUAACUCAAGCUAGCGUUUGAUGCAUUGGUCUCUUGUUUUUCAGGAGUACAACCUUGAAAUUAAUCAUUGGUAGGGUUCAGACAAUGUAGCAGCUGAUGUGCUGUCCCAGUGUGGGGUUGCUGAUGAAUGACGCGUUUUUUGUUGUUGUUUUUUUCAUUAUGGGGGUGUUACAUCCGAGGAAGCAUUU
Molecule: long non-coding RNA, 1235 nt
Filed under: Carassius auratus (goldfish)
Lineage: Eukaryota; Metazoa; Chordata; Actinopteri; Cypriniformes; Cyprinidae
Description: lncRNA (ENSCARG00000050246.1)
Source: RNAcentral